AACGAACGCUGGCGGCAGGCCUAACACAUGCAAGUCGAGCGCGCCUUCGGGUGAGCGGCGGACGGGUUAGUAACGCGUGGGAACGUGCCCUUCUCUACGGAAUAGCCUCUGGAAACGGAGAGUAAUACCGUAUACGCCCUUUGGGGGAAAGAUUUAUCGGAGAAGGAUCGGCCCGCGUUAGAUUAGGUAGUUGGUGGGGUAACGGCCUACCAAGCCUACGAUCUAUAGCUGGUUUUAGAGGAUGAUCAGCCACACUGGGACUGAGACACGGCCCAGACUCCUACGGGAGGCAGCAGUGGGGAAUUUUCCGCAAUGGGCGAAAGCCUGACGGAGCAACGCCGCGUGAGGGAUGAAGGCCUCUGGGCUGUAAACCUCUUUUAUCAAGGAAGAAGAUCUGACGGUACUUAAGGAAUAAGCCACGGCUAAUUCCGUG
This 433-nucleotide ribosomal RNA is filed under the name uncultured bacterium. Its description in RNAcentral is "bacterial SSU rRNA". It matches the Rfam family "Bacterial small subunit ribosomal RNA", at positions 29 to 507 of the family's 1533-position model. The record is from RNAcentral.